This 253-nucleotide ribosomal RNA is filed under the name uncultured bacterium. Its description in RNAcentral is "partial 16S ribosomal RNA". It matches the Rfam family "Bacterial small subunit ribosomal RNA", at positions 524 to 776 of the family's 1533-position model. The record is from RNAcentral.
UACGAAGGGGGCUAGCGUUGUUCGGAAUUACUGGGCGUAAAGCGCACGUAGGCGGGUCGUUAAGUCAGGGGUGAAAUCCCAGAGCUCAACUCCAGAACUGCCUUUGAUACUGAGGAUCUUGAGUACGGGAGAGGUGAGUGGAACUGCGAGUGUAGAGGUGAAAUUCGUAGAUAUUCGCAAGAACACCAGUGGCGAAGGCGGCUCACUGGCCCGUUACUGACGCUGAGGCACGAAAGCGUGGGGAGCAAACAGG